This 200-nucleotide ribosomal RNA is filed under the name Iluocoetes fimbriatus. RNAcentral's name for it is "partial 16S ribosomal RNA". The record is from RNAcentral. Lineage: Eukaryota; Metazoa; Chordata; Actinopteri; Perciformes; Zoarcidae.
UUUUAAAUGAAGACCUGUAUGAAUGGCAUAACGAGGGCUUAACUGUCUCCUCUUUCCAGUCAAUGAAGUUGAUCUUCCCGUGCAGAAGCGGGAAUACAAACAUAAGACGAGAAGACCCUAUGAAGCUUUAGACAACAAGGCAGAUCAUGUUAAUAACCCUGAAUAUCAGAUUUAAACCAAGUGAAGCCUGCCCGAAUGUC